CUCUCCAAGAUGAAGGCAGAGAGUGGAGUGAUCCAUCCACACAAGCCAAGGAACGGCCAAGGACUGCCAGCGAGCACCAGGAGCCAGGAGAGGCAUGGGACUGAUUCUCAUCCCACAGAAAGGAUGAACUUUGCCCACCCCCUGGUCUCAGAUCUGGCUCUCACAACUGUCAGGGACUAAGCUCCUGUUGUUUCCCACCCAGUUUGUGACACUUUGUGACAGCCGCUCUAGGACACAAAUACACAUCCUUUAAACGGGGGUGCGAGGCAGCAAGGCCCCACAUAGUAAAUGUCACCAUGUAACAUCCUUCUGUUUAGCAUCAUUUGAAUGCAUUUUUAAAGGAAGUCCCAUGCAGAGUGAACAAUUAGGCAAGUUUUACUCAAAAAAGGUUGCUCAGUGAAGCCCACAUAUGAACUUUCCAGGGAUGAAGCAGUGGGGGAGACUGAGGGCAUCCAGGGAUCUGGAGACCCUGCAAUGGAGUGAUGGCCCAGCAGUUUGUGGGCUCAUCCUUAAAUCCCUGCAAUCUGGAUUCUCAGAUGAGGUCUAGAGAAUGGAGAUAUGCCUCGAGGACCAGUGAGCAGAAAGAAACCUCCUGGCUUCUGCAGAAGACCAGGAAAGGGAAGGGCUGAGCUGGUGAAGAAUAU
Molecule: long non-coding RNA, 644 nt
Organism: Zalophus californianus (California sea lion)
Lineage: Eukaryota; Metazoa; Chordata; Mammalia; Carnivora; Otariidae
Exons: 3
Source: RefSeq, a predicted model, not a curated record